RNAcentral lists this transfer RNA (73 nucleotides) under Oscillospiraceae bacterium. RNAcentral's name for it is "tRNA-Thr". It matches the Rfam family "tRNA". From Rfam's summary of the family: Transfer RNA (tRNA) molecules are approximately 80 nucleotides in length. Their secondary structure includes four short double-helical elements and three loops (D, anti-codon, and T loops). The record is from RNAcentral. Lineage: Bacteria; Bacillati; Bacillota; Clostridia; Eubacteriales; Oscillospiraceae.
GCUUCUAUAGCUCAGUCGGCAGAGCGCGUCCUUGGUAAGGACGAGGUCAUCGGUUCAAAUCCGAUUAGAAGCU